Molecule: ribosomal RNA, 492 nt
Filed under: uncultured bacterium
Lineage: Bacteria
Description: partial 16S ribosomal RNA
Rfam family: Bacterial small subunit ribosomal RNA
Source: RNAcentral
AGUGAACGCUGGCGGUAGGCCUAACACAUGCAAGUCGAACGGCAGCACAGUAAGAGCUUGCUCUUACGGGUGGCGAGUGGCGGACGGGUGAGGAAUACAUCGGAAUCUACUUUUUCGUGGGGGAUAACGUAGGGAAACUUACGCUAAUACCGCAUACGACCUACGGUUGAAAGCAGGGGAUCUUCGGACCUUGCGCGAUUGAAUGAGCCGAUGUCGGAUUAGCUAGUUGGCGGGGUAAAGGCCCACCAAGGCGACGAUCCGUAGCUGGUCUGAGAGGAUGGUCAGCGACACUGGAACUGAGACACGGUCCAGACUCCUACGGGAGGGAGCAGUGGGGAAUAGUGGACAAUGGGGGCAAGCCUGAUCCAGCCAUACCGCGUGGGUGAAGAAGGCCUUGGGGUUGUAAAGACCUUUUGUUGGGAAAGAAAAGCAGUAGGUUAAUACCACGCUGUUCUGACGGUACCCAAAGAAUAAGCACCGGCUAACUUCGUG